RNAcentral lists this ribosomal RNA (513 nucleotides) under uncultured Glomus. Its description in RNAcentral is "SSU rRNA". It matches the Rfam family "Eukaryotic small subunit ribosomal RNA", at positions 569 to 1085 of the family's 1831-position model. Lineage: Eukaryota; Fungi; Glomeromycota; Glomeromycetes; Glomerales; Glomeraceae. The record is from RNAcentral.
AGCAGCCGCGGUAAUUCCAGCUCCAAUAGCGUAUAUUAAAGUUGUUGCAGUUAAAAAGCUCGUAGUUGAAUUUCGGGAUCAAUAUAUUGGUCAUGCUUAGGUAUGUACUGGUAUUAUUGAUUUCUCCCUUCUGAAGAACCAUGAUGUCAUUAAUUUGAUGUCGUGGGGAAUCAGGACUGUUACUUUGAAAAAAUUAGAGUGUUUAAAGCAGGCUUUCGCUUGAAUACAUUAGCAUGGAAUAAUGAAAUAGGACGUUUGAUUCUAUUUUGUUGGUUUCUAGGAUCGACGUAAUGAUUAAUAGGGAUAGUUGGGGGCAUUAGUAUUCAAUUGUCAGAGGUGGAAUUCUUGGAUUUAUUGAAGACUAACUACUGCGAAAGCAUUUGCCAAGGAUGUUUUCAUUAAUCAAGAACGAAAGUUAGGGGAUCGAAGACGAUCAGAUACCGUCGUAGUCUUAACCAUAAACUAUGCCGACUAGGGAUCGGAUGAUGUUAAUUUUUAAUGACCCAUUCGGCG